CAACUUCCACCUGGCAUACCUCUUCAGUAAUGCGUCAUGGCUUGUAUUGUCUUGAGCGUAUUGUGGGUUUCCUGUGUUGCAUACCUAAUCAAUGGUAUCGUUUUGAUUGAUCGAUGUCCCUUUUCAUCUUGUGUUGCAUUUGUGACGCAUGAUGAACCUCGAAGCGAUCUCUAUGUUCCAUCAUGUUGAUGCAAUGUGUCGAUGUUGUGGCCCAUUGAGCUUUUGCUUGGUAUCCUAGAUACGGAACAUUGUUUGGGCAUGGGGUCUCUAAUGACUCUUUUUUUGUCCUUCUUCGGUGUUCUUCAAAACGACAGCUCAUGCGCGCCUAGGCUCGUACCUGUGCGAUGUUCUUUGUCGAAGAGGAAUGCUACCUGGUUGAUCCUGCCAGUAGUCAUAUGCUUGUCUCAAAGAUUAAGCCAUGCAUGUGUAAGUA
RNAcentral lists this unclassified non-coding RNA (433 nucleotides) under Lamprocephalus montanus. RNAcentral's name for it is "partial contains external transcribed spacer and 18S ribosomal RNA". The stretch from base 369 to 433 matches the Rfam family "Eukaryotic small subunit ribosomal RNA", at positions 1 to 65 of the family's 1831-position model. The record is from RNAcentral. Lineage: Eukaryota; Viridiplantae; Streptophyta; Magnoliopsida; Asterales; Asteraceae.